RNAcentral lists this ribosomal RNA (421 nucleotides) under uncultured Bacteroides sp. RNAcentral describes it as "bacterial SSU rRNA". It matches the Rfam family "Bacterial small subunit ribosomal RNA", at positions 356 to 774 of the family's 1533-position model. Lineage: Bacteria; Pseudomonadati; Bacteroidota; Bacteroidia; Bacteroidales; Bacteroidaceae. The record is from RNAcentral.
GAGGAAUAUUGGUCAAUGGGCGAGAGCCUGAACCAGCCAAGUAGCGUGAAGGAUGACUGCCCUAUGGGUUGUAAACUUCUUUUAUAAAGGAAUAAAGUCGGGUAUGGAUACCCGUUUGCAUGUACUUUAUGAAUAAGGAUCGGCUAACUCCGUGCCAGCAGCCGCGGUAAUACGGAGGAUCCGAGCGUUAUCCGGAUUUAUUGGGUUUAAAGGGAGCGUAGAUGGAUGUUUAAGUCAGUUGUGAAAGUUUGCGGCUCAACCGUAAAAUUGCAGUUGAUACUGGAUAUCUUGAGUGCAGUUGAGGCAGGCGGAAUUCGUGGUGUAGCGGUGAAAUGCUUAGAUAUCACGAAGAACUCCAAUUGCGAAGGCAGCUCACUGGAGUGUAACUGACGCUGAUGCUCGAAAGUGUGGGUAUCAAACA